GCGAUGAAGGACGUGCUAAUCUGCGAUAAGCGUCGGUAAGGUGAUAUGAACCGUUAUAACCGGCGAUUUCCGAAUGGGGAAACCCAGUGUGAUUCGUCACACUAUCAUUAACUGAAUCCAUAGGUUAAUGAGGCGAACCGGGGGAACUGAAACAUCUAAGUACCCCGAGGAAAAGAAAUCAACCGAGAUUCCCCCAGUAGCGGCGAGCGAACGGGGAGCAGCCCAGAGCCUGAAUCAGUGUGUGUGUUAGUGGAAGCGUCUGGAAAGGCGCGCGAUACAGGGUGACAGC
RNAcentral lists this ribosomal RNA (289 nucleotides) under Escherichia coli. RNAcentral describes it as "partial 23S ribosomal RNA". It matches the Rfam family "Bacterial large subunit ribosomal RNA", at positions 46 to 371 of the family's 2925-position model. The record is from RNAcentral. Lineage: Bacteria; Pseudomonadati; Pseudomonadota; Gammaproteobacteria; Enterobacterales; Enterobacteriaceae.